GCCUACGGGGGGCAGCAGUGGGGAAUAUUGCACAAUGGGGGAAACCCUGAUGCAGCAACGCCGCGUGAGUGAAGAAGUAUUUCGGUAUGUAAAGCUCUAUCAGCAGGGAAGAGAAUGACGGUACCUGACUAAGAAGCCCCGGCUAACUACGUGCCAGCAGCCGCGGUAAUACGUAGGGGGCAGCCGUUAUCCGGCUUUACUGGGGGUAAAGGGAGCGUAGACGGCUGUACAAGUCUGAAGUGAAAGCCCGUGGCUCAACCGCGGAACUGCUUUGGAAACUGUAAAGCUGGAGUACUGGAAGGGCA
This 305-nucleotide ribosomal RNA is filed under the name uncultured bacterium. Its description in RNAcentral is "bacterial SSU rRNA". It matches the Rfam family "Bacterial small subunit ribosomal RNA", at positions 337 to 659 of the family's 1533-position model. The record is from RNAcentral.